AUUGAACGCUGGCGGCAGGCCUAACACAUGCAAGUCGAGCGGAUGAAGGGAGCUUGCUCCUGGAUUCAGCUGCGGACGGGUGAGUAAUGCCUAGGAAUCUGCCUGGUAGUGGGGGAUAACGUCCGGAAACGGGCGCUAAUACCGCAUACGUCCUGAGGGAGAAAGUGGGGGAUCUUCGGACCUCACGCUAUCAGAUGAGCCUAGGUCGGAUUAGCUAGUUGGUGGGGUAAAGGCCUACCACGGCGACGAUCCGUAACUGGUCUGAGCGGAUGAUCAGUCACACUGGAACUGAGACACGGUCCAGACUCCUACGGGAGGCAGCAGUGGGGAAUAUUGGACAAUGGGCGAAAGCCUGAUCCAGCCAUGCCGCGUGUGUGAAGAAGGUCUUCGGAUUGUAAAGCACUUUAAGUUGGGAGGAAGGGCAGUAAGUUAAUACCUUGCUGUUUUGACGUUACCAACAGAAUAAGCACCGGCUAACUUCGUG
Molecule: ribosomal RNA, 484 nt
Filed under: uncultured bacterium
Lineage: Bacteria
Description: partial 16S ribosomal RNA
Rfam family: Bacterial small subunit ribosomal RNA
Source: RNAcentral